Aedes albopictus (Asian tiger mosquito) is the source of this 63-nucleotide non-coding RNA. Lineage: Eukaryota; Metazoa; Arthropoda; Insecta; Diptera; Culicidae. The record is from Rfam.
UGUGGCUUAGCUGGUUAAAGCGCCAGUCUAGAGAACACUAAGUCGUGGGUUCAAGUCCCACCA